GUAGGGAAUAUUGGUCAAUGGACGAAAGUCUGAACCAGCCAUUCCGCGUGCAGGAAGAAGAUUCUAUGGAUUGUAAACUGCUUUUAGCAGAGAAGAAACGCCUUCAUUGAUGAGGGUUUGACGGUAUCUGCGGAAUAAGCACCGGCUAACUCCGUGCCAGCAGCCGCGGUAAUACGGGGGGUGCAAGCGUUAUCCGGAAUCACUGGGUUUAAAGGGUGCGUAGGCGGGCAAUUAAGUCAGUGGUGAAAGUCUGUUGCUUAACGAUAGAAAUGCCGGUGGUACUGAUUUUCUUGAAUGGGGUUGAGGUUAGCGGAAUGUGACAGGUAGCGGUGAAAUGCAUAGAUAUGUCAUGGAACACCAAUUGCGAAGGCAGCUAGCUGGGCCUGGAUUGACGCUGAGGCACGAAAGCGUGGGUAGCAAACAGGAUUAGAUACCCGUGUAGUCC
This 445-nucleotide ribosomal RNA is filed under the name uncultured bacterium. Its description in RNAcentral is "bacterial SSU rRNA". It matches the Rfam family "Bacterial small subunit ribosomal RNA", at positions 354 to 796 of the family's 1533-position model. The record is from RNAcentral.